UUCCCGCGAGUGAACUCUCACAGCAUAUCAGUACUGCCGGAAUGGAAGCGAGUGGAACUAGCAACAUGAAAUUUUCCAUGAACGGUUGUAUCUUAAUUGGGACAUUAGAUGGGGCUAAUGUGGAAAUAAGGGAAGAAGUUGGAGAAGAUAAUUUUUUUCUUUUUGGUGCUCAAGCCCAUGAGAUAACCGGGUUACGGAA
Long non-coding RNA from Helianthus annuus (common sunflower), 199 nucleotides. RefSeq lists it as uncharacterized. Lineage: Eukaryota; Viridiplantae; Streptophyta; Magnoliopsida; Asterales; Asteraceae. The record is from RefSeq and is a predicted model, not a curated record. The transcript has 2 exons.